This 841-nucleotide ribosomal RNA is filed under the name uncultured archaeon. RNAcentral's name for it is "bacterial SSU rRNA". It matches the Rfam family "Archaeal small subunit ribosomal RNA", at positions 508 to 1353 of the family's 1478-position model. The record is from RNAcentral.
GCCUAAAGGGGCCGUAGCAGGAUUAGUAAAUCUCUUGUGAGAUUGUUAGGCUUAACCUAACAGCGUGCAGGAGACACUGCUAAUCUUGAGACCGGGAGGAGUCAGAGGUAUUCAUGGGGUAGCGGUAAAAUGCAAUAAUCCCAUGAAGACCACCUGUGGCGAAGGCGUCUGACUAGAACGGGUCUGACUGUGAGGGACGAAAGCUGGGGGAGCGAUCCGGAUUAGAUACCCGAGUAGUCCCAGCCGUAAACACUGCGAGCCAGGUGUUGCAUAUUCCAAGAGAAUAUGCAGUGUCGAAGUGAAGACGUUGAGCUCGCCGCCUGGGUAGUACGGUCGCAAGACUGAAACUUAAAGGAAUAGGCGGGGGAGCACUACAAGGGGUGCGGCGUGCGGUUUAAUCCAACUCAACGCGGAGAAUCUCACCAGAGGCGACGGCAGAAUGAAAGUCAGACUGAAGGUCUUACUUAACAAGCCGAGAGGUGGUGCAUGGCCGCCGUCAGCUCGUGCUGUGAAGUGUCCUGUUAAGUCAGGCAACGAGCGAGACCUGUAUCCACAAUUGCCAACGAGGUUUCUGAUCGGGCACAUUGUGGGGACUGCCUUGGAAACAAGGAGGAAGGUGCAGGCAACGGUAGGUCUGUAUGCCCCGAAUCCUCUGGGCUACACGCGCGCAACAAUGGUAUGGACAAUGGGAUGCAACUCCGAAAGGAGAAGCCAAACCUCUAAACCAUAUCCUAGUCCAGAUUGUGGGUUGUAACUCACCCACAUGACGUUGGAAUCCCUAGUAACCAGAUGUUAGCAUCGUCCGGUGAAUAUGUCCCUGCUCCUUGCACCCACCGCCCGU